CCUANGGGUGGCAGCAGGGAGGAAUAUUGCACAACGGGGGAAACCCAGGUGCAGCAACGCCGCGUGAGUGAAGAAGGCCUUCGGGUCGUAAAACUCUUUUCUGAGGGAUGAGUAAGGACAGUACCUCAGGAAUAAGUCUCGGCUAAUUACGUGCCAGCAGCCGCGGUAAGACGUAAGAGGCGAGCGUUAUCCGGAUUUACUGGGCGUAAAGGGCAAGUAGGCGGUACAGCAAGUCAGUUGUGACAGAUCCCGGCUUAACUGGGAGAGGACGAUUGAGACUGUUGAGCUAGAGGACAGGAGAGGGAAGCGGAAUUCCUUGUGUAGCGGUGGAAUGCUCAGAUACAAGGAGGAACACCAGUGGCGAAGGCGGCUUUCUGGCCUGGUCCUGACGCUGAAGAGCGAAAGCUAGGGGAGCAAACGGGAUUAGAUACCCUANUANUC
This 441-nucleotide ribosomal RNA is filed under the name uncultured bacterium. RNAcentral's name for it is "bacterial SSU rRNA". It matches the Rfam family "Bacterial small subunit ribosomal RNA", at positions 338 to 795 of the family's 1533-position model. The record is from RNAcentral.